UACUAGCGGUCCAAGUCGCAGCCACAAUUAUUGGGUCUAAAACAUCCGUAGCUUGCUUAAUAAGUUUCUUGUGAAAUCUCACGUCUUAAGCGUGAGGCGCGCAGGAAGUACUAUUGAGCUAGAGACUGGAAGACGUAGGAAGUACGUUCAAAGUAACGGUAAAAUGUUCUAAUCUUGGACGGACUCACAAUAGCGAAGGCAUCCUACGAGGACAGUUCUGACAGUAAGGGAUGAAAGCUAGGGGCGCAAAACAGAUUAGAUACCUGUGUAGUCCUAGCAGUAAACACUGCACACUAAACAUUAGUACCUCCUCGAGAGGUAUUAGUGCUGAAGGGAAGCCGAAGAGUGUGCUACCUGGGAAGUAUAGUCGCAAGGCCGAAACUUAAAGGAAUUGGCGGGGAGACACUACAACGGGUGACGCGUACGGUUCAAUUAGAUUAUACACCGUGAACCUCACCAGGAGCGACAGCAGGAUGAAGGUCAGUCUGAAGGGCUUACCUGACACGCUGAGAGGAGUUGCAUGGCCGACGUCAGCCUGUGCCGUGAGGUGACCUGUUAAAUCAGGUAACAGGCAAGACCCACAUACAUAUUUACUACGUGUACAAUAUGUAGAUUGCCUUGGUAACGAGGAUGAAAGUGUGGGCUACGUUAGGUGAGUACAGCCCGAAUCCCCUGGGCAACACGUGCGCGUCAAUGGUGGAUACAACGGGAUGCGACUCUGAAAAGAGAAGCAAAUCUCUUAAAGUUCAUCUCAGUCCAGAUUGAGGUUUGUAACUCAGCCUCAUGACGCUGGAAUCCGUAGUAAUCGUUUGUUAUCAGCGAACGGUGAAUACGUCACUGUCUCU
RNAcentral lists this ribosomal RNA (845 nucleotides) under uncultured archaeon. RNAcentral describes it as "SSU rRNA". It matches the Rfam family "Archaeal small subunit ribosomal RNA", at positions 474 to 1337 of the family's 1478-position model. The record is from RNAcentral.